CAAGGGUGGGGCAACGUUUUCCUGAGACCACGAGGCGAUGGUCGAGCCAGAGCGCUCUCUGGGAUUUAUUCACCCCACUAGGAGUAUACCUUGGCCAGCAGCAUAUACAUAGUCGCAGAGCAGAAUGGAAAAUUUGUGCAGGAGAGGACGUGGGGGAUAGGCUAGAAAUAGCCCAGCGGCCAGAGGAGAUAUCUCUCACGCCCCACGUCUGCCGCUCUCUACUCUCACUGAUGCCGCCGCCGCCUCUGGCUCUGGCUCUGCCGAUGGUGCCUUUUGCUGACUACGGCUGCUGCCUGUUGUUGUUGCUGUUGUUGCUUCGCCCUCGGCCAAAACAAAAGAGAAUGAGAGGUCCCGCUAAUUGUCCGCCUGUUGCAAUUUUCCCUUUAGCCGGGCGCUUGCUGCUGCUUGGCUGCCCUGGCGACUGCAAUUAGUGCGGCUGCCGCCUGACGUCUGAGGCUCGUCAAAUUUAAAACCUCUGCUGGUGCAUCCCUCUACCCCACCGCACCCCACCCCACCCCACACGGAGUCAGUCCCAUGUGCGUGGAGCUAUUUUGGUGUUCUGUUCCCAGAGCAUGCCGUUAAACAAUAGGCAGAAAGAGAGAGAUGAAUGGAUAGACUUUGGUGCACGCUCUCCUAUCAAUAAGAAAAUUUAAAGAUCAUUCUACUCAAUCGGAAAUCUCAUCAGUUGUGAUUGUACUAUGGAGUUCUAUGGACUAUCCAUCCCCAAAACGCAGCGAGAAGGGAAAUACGACAUGAAACGAGACAAAUGGCUGUAGAUAUAGAUACAUACAACCAAUGGAUCUCUCUCUCCCCCCCCCCCCCGUCCACUGUCUGAUGAGAAAAUGCAAUUACGGGAUACGAAAUGGGGCAAGAGCUCCCUACUACCAUCUUUGGAGUGACACAUCCCACAAAGCCAAAGGAUAACACUCAUCCCGGUGGGGGGAUACUUGUAGUGGGAUGUCUAGAGGGGGGCCCAUGCCCCACCACAACAUCCACUCUCGUGAUCCUUUUGGCGUUGUGGAAUCAACGCUCAAAUAUGAUUAAUAAGUAAUUUCUUUGUCAACAACUGGCUGGGGACUGGCGGCUGACGACAGUCACGAUAACGAGUGGAACGACAACGACGCCAUGGAAAUCUUUAAUAAAAAUACAUGCAUAAAUAAAUUAUGGGGUAAGCUGGGGAGGGGGAAAAACAAGGGCUACGAGCCGAAAGGAAAGUAAAGGAAAGCGAACGGGUAAUAAAACAAAGCGAUGACA
Drosophila miranda is the source of this 1254-nucleotide long non-coding RNA. RefSeq lists it as uncharacterized. NCBI's taxonomy places the organism in Eukaryota, Metazoa, Arthropoda, Insecta, Diptera, Drosophilidae. The record is from RefSeq and is a predicted model, not a curated record. The transcript is spliced from 3 exons.